This 2322-nucleotide long non-coding RNA is filed under the name Homo sapiens (human). RNAcentral's name for it is "HSALNT0081242". The record is from RNAcentral. Lineage: Eukaryota; Metazoa; Chordata; Mammalia; Primates; Hominidae.
UUUCAGCUACAAGGAGAAGAAACUCUGAACCAAAGUGGCCUGCGCAAUAAAGAAGUUUCUUCUCUCGGUAACUCAUGGAGAGCUGGUGGUUUCAGUGGCUCAACCAUAUUAUCAGGUGCCUGGGUUCUUGUUUUGGCUCUGCUGUCCACAGUAUCAAUUUCCUUUUAAGCCUGAGUCUUUUUAUGGUUAUAAGAAGUCUCAAAAAAAAUUAGAUGUUUAUUUUUCUCUCACUUAAAGAGUUGCAACUUGGAUUUCUUGUCUUCUUGGUCAUGUCCAGCAGGAGAGGGAAAGAGGAGUAUGCUAGGACUGAGUCCUUCCCUUCGGGCUAAUUGGUGCACUGUGGCAGAAAGACUGCUAGUUUUGCAUCAAGAUCCAUGAUCCUAAGUUUUCAGUGGGGCACAGAGCCACCUGGAACAAAGAUUACAUUUCCCAGCUUUCCUAAGAACCAGGUGUGCCCUUUUGACUGUUUUGGCAAUAGAGGUAAGUGGAAGUGAUUUCUGGGCUAUAUUCUCACAAGGAAGGGGUGUACCCUUCCCUGUCCCUUCGUGCUUCCUGCUGCUGCAAUGUGAAUAUGAUCUGAAGAUCUACAGCCACAUGUGAAGGUAACAAGGCAAUAUGGACCCUGAGUGCUUGACAGCUAUAACACCAUCCCGGCCCCCGGCUGUCUCCUUCCUCACUUCUUUUAAAUGAGGGACAGAAAUGAAUUUCUGUUUCAUUCAAACCACUAAUUAGGAGAGUUUUCUGCCAUGUGAAGCUCCAAACUAAUAUAUUUUCCUUAAGUCAUUGCCCAGGCAAGGCUGGGUACAGUGGAUCACACCUGUAAUCUCAGUGCUUUCCGAGGCUGAAGCAGGAGGAUCGCUUGAGCCCAUGAGUUUGAGGCUGCGGUGAGCUAUGAUGGCACCUCUGUACACCAACCUGAGCAACAGAGCAAGACCCUAUCUCUGAAAACUAAGGUUGUUGGCAGACAGAGGAAUGCCACGGCUGACCGACUUCUUCCUGAAACGAGUAGCAGGCCAUCUCUCUUAAGUAUGUAAAAUAAGAAAAUUUGUUGUUCUCUUUUUCUUAUCUGGGGAGUGUCUGGCCACUCAUGAAGGAGAUGUUUCCAGCUGCUUUCAUCCCUUUGUUCCAAGGCAUGGAUUCUAAUCUCUAUAACCAGUAACAUUCACUGGCAAAGUAUACACUGUCAGGCCUCUGAGCCCAAGUUAAGCUAUCACAUCCCCUGUGACCUGCACGUACACAUCCAGAUGGCCGGUUCCUGCCUUAACUGAUGAUAUUACCUUGUGAAAUUCCUUCUCCUGGCUCAUCGUGGCUUAAAAGCUCCCCCGCUGAGCACCUUGUGACCCCCCCGACCCCUGCCCGCCAGAGAACAACCCCCGUUUUUCCUUUAUCUACCCAAAUCUUAUAAAGCAGCCCCACCCCUAUCUCCCUUCACUCUUUUCGGACUCAGCCCGCCUGCACCCAGGUGAAAUAAACAGCCUUGUUGCUCACACAAAGCCUGUUUGGUGGUCUCUUCACAUGGACGCACGUGAAAUUUGGUGCCAUGACUCAGAUCGGGGGACCUCCCUUGGGAGAUCAAUCCCCUGUCCUCCUGCUCUUUGCUGCAUGAGAAAGAUCCACCUACGACCUCAGGUCCUCAGACCGACCAGCCCAAAGAACAUCUCACCAAUUUUAAAUCCGGAGCCCCCCACGGCCUCUGCUUCUAGUUGGCCAUCUUGGCCCCGCCUCCUCAGCAUAUAUCAGAUUUUUAUUUUUUAUUUAUUUAUUUAUUUUUGAGACGGAGUCUUGCUCUGUCACCCAGGCUACAGUGCAGUGACACUGUCUCGACUCACUGCAACCUCUGCCUCCCGGGUUCAAGCGAUUCUUCUGACUCAGCCUCCCGGGUAGCUGGGAUUACAGGCACCCACCACUGUGCCUGGCUAAUUUUUGUAUUUUUAGUAGAGAUGGCAUUUCACCAUCUUGGCCAGGCUGGUCUCGAACUCCUGACCUCGUGAUCCACCCACCUCGGCCUCCCAAAGUGCUGGGAUUACAGGCAUGAGCCACUGCCCCCAGCCCAGAUUUUUAUUUUUAUUUUUUUAUUUAUUUAUUAUUGAGAUGGAGUCUCGCUCUUUCACCAGGCUGGAGUGCAGUGGCACGAUCUCGACUCACUGCAACCUCUGCCUUCUGGAUUCAAGUGAUUAUUCUGCCUCAAACUCCGGAGUAGCUCCAACUACAGGUAAGCACCACCAUGCCCAGCUAAUUUUUGUAUUUUCUUUUUUUAGUAAAGAAGGGGUUUCACCAUGUUGGCCAGAAAGGUCUCAAUCUCUUGACCUCAUGAUCCACCCG